Molecule: transfer RNA, 73 nt
Filed under: Camelus bactrianus (Bactrian camel)
Lineage: Eukaryota; Metazoa; Chordata; Mammalia; Artiodactyla; Camelidae
Also listed under: 1 other name
Rfam family: tRNA
About the family: Transfer RNA (tRNA) molecules are approximately 80 nucleotides in length. Their secondary structure includes four short double-helical elements and three loops (D, anti-codon, and T loops).
Source: Rfam by way of RNAcentral
GGAGCUAUAGCUCAAGUGGCAGAGCGCACACUUAGCAUGCACGUGGUCCUGGGUUCAGUCCCCAGUACCUCCU